UCGAGCGGUAGAGAGAAGCUUGCUUCUCUUGAGAGCGGCGGACGGGUGAGUAAUGCCUAGGAAUCUGCCUAGUGGUGGGGGAUAACGUUCGGAAACGGACGCUAAUACCGCAUACGUCCUACGGGAGAAAGCGGGGGAUCUUCGGACCUCGCGCCAUUAGAUGAGCCUAGGUCGGAUUAGCUAGUUGGUGAGGUAAUGGCUCACCAAGGCGACGAUCCGUAACUGGUCUGAGAGGAUGAUCAGUCACACUGGAACUGAGACACGGUCCAGACUCCUACGGGAGGCAGCAGUGGGGAAUAUUGGACAAUGGGCGAAAGCCUGAUCCAGCCAUGCCGCGUGUGUGAAGAAGGUCUUCGGAUUGUAAAGCACUUUAAGUUGGGAGGAAGGGCAGUAACCUAAUACGUUAUUGCUUUGACGUUACCGACAGAAUAAGCACCGGCUAACUUCGUGCCAGCAGCCGCGGUAAUACGAAGGGUGCAAGCGUUAAUCGGAAUUACUGGGCGUAAAGCGCGCGUAGGUGGUUCAGUAAGUUGGAAGUGAAAUCCCCGGGCUCAACCUGGGAACUGCUUUCAAAACUGCUGAGCUAGAGUACGGUAGAGGGUGGUGGAAUUUCCUGUGUAGCGGUGAAAUGCGUAGAUAUAGGAAGGAACACCAGUGGCGAAGGCGACCACCUGGACUGAUACUGACACUGAGGUGCGAAAGCGUGGGGAGCAAACAGGAUUAGAUACCCUGGUAGUCCACGCCGUAAACGAUGUCAACUAGCCGUUGG
RNAcentral lists this ribosomal RNA (769 nucleotides) under uncultured bacterium. RNAcentral describes it as "bacterial SSU rRNA". It matches the Rfam family "Bacterial small subunit ribosomal RNA", at positions 62 to 826 of the family's 1533-position model. The record is from RNAcentral.